AGAAAUGGGAACUGACUGCUUAAUAAGUAUGGGAUUUUUGGUGGGGUGUUGAUGCAAUGUUUUGCAACUAGAUAGGGAUGAUGGCUGGCUGCACAGCAUUGAUGGAGUUCAAUGGUGCAAUCGCGGCUCACGGCAACUAGAGGAGUUAUAACACAAGAUUUGGGGUGACGGCAUGGAAAUUAAAAGCUGGUGAAGCACAUGGCCUUUAGAUCUGGAUGUACUUGAGCUGUGGGAUACAGAGCAUAAAGGGGAGCACACCACUAAGGU
RNAcentral lists this long non-coding RNA (267 nucleotides) under Homo sapiens (human). RNAcentral's name for it is "non-protein coding lnc-TCIM-3:1". The record is from RNAcentral. Lineage: Eukaryota; Metazoa; Chordata; Mammalia; Primates; Hominidae.